GUUUGAUCCUGGCUCAGAUUGAACGCUGGCGGCAUGCCUUACACAUGCAAGUCGAACGGUAACAGGUAAGCUGACGAGUGGCGAACGGGUGAGUAAUACAUCGGAACGUGCCCAGUAGUGGGGGAUAGCCCGGCGAAAGCCGGAUUAAUACCGCAUACGACCUACGGGUGAAAGGGGGGGAUCGCAAGACCUCUCGCUAUUGGAGCGGCCGAUGUCAGAUUAGGUAGUUGGUGGGGUAAAGGCUCACCAAGCCAACGAUCUGUAGCUGGUCUGAGAGGACGACCAGCCACACUGGGACUGAGACACGGCCCAGACUCCUACGGGUGGCAGCAGUGGGGAAUUUUGGACAAUGGGCGCAAGCCUGAUCCAGCCAUGCCGCGUGCGGGAAGAAGGCCUUCGGGUUGUAAACCGCUUUUGUCGGGGAAGAAACGCUCUGGGUUAAUACCCUGGGGUAAUGACGGUACCCGAAGAAUAAGCACCGGCUAACUACGUGCCAGCAGCCGCGGUAAUACGUAGGGUGCAAGCGUUAAUCGGAAUUACUGGGCGUAAAGCGUGCGCAGGCGGCUAUGCAAGACAGAUGUGAAAUCCCCGGGCUCAACCUGGGAACUGCAUUUGUGACUGCACAGCUAGAGUACGGUAGAGGGGGAUGGAAUUCCGCGUGUAGCAGUGAAAUGCGUAGAUAUGCGGAGGAACACCGAUGGCGAAGGCAAUCCCCUGGACCUGUACUGACGCUCAUGCACGAAAGCGUGGGGAGCAAACAGGAUUAGAUACCCUGGUAGUCCACGCCCUAAACGAUGUCAACUGGUUGUUGGGAGGGUUUCUUCUCAGUAACGUAGCUAACGCGUGAAGUUGACCGCCUGGGGAGUACGGCCGCAAGGUUAAAACUCAAAGGAAUUGACGGGGACCCGCACAAGCGGUGGAUGAUGUGGUUUAAUUCGACGCAACGCGAAAAACCUUACCUACCCUUGACAUGUCUGGAAUCCUGAAGAGAUUUGGGAGUGCUCGAAAGAGAACCAGAACACAGGUGCUGCAUGGCCGUCGUCAGCUCGUGUCGUGAGAUGUUGGGUUAAGUCCCGCAACGAGCGCAACCCUUGUCAUUAGUGCUACGAAAGGGCACUCUAAUGAGACUGCCGGUGACAAACCGGAGGAAGGUGGGGAUGACGUCAGGUCAUCAUGGCCCUUAUGGGUAGGGCUACACACGUCAUACAAUGGACGGUACAGAGGGUCGCCAACCCGCGAGGGGGAGCCAAUCCCAGAAAACCGUUCGUAGUCCGGAUCGCAGUCUGCAACUCGACUGCGUGAAGUCGGAAUCGCUAGUAAUCGCGGAUCAGCUUGCCGCGGUGAAUACGUUCCCGGGUCUUGUACACACCGCCCGUCACACCAUGGGAGCGGGUUCUGCCAGAAGUAGUUAGCCUAACCGCAAGGAGGGCGAUUACCACGGCAGGGUUCGUGACUGGGGUGAAGUCGGAACAUGGUA
RNAcentral lists this ribosomal RNA (1477 nucleotides) under metagenome. RNAcentral's name for it is "bacterial SSU rRNA". It matches the Rfam family "Bacterial small subunit ribosomal RNA". The record is from RNAcentral.